UUUAUUUUAUAUAGCGGCAAUUAGCAAAGCAGAGGAACAAAUAAAGGACUAGUGUGACAAUUUGUAAACCGGAAAUCACGUGGCUAUAUAUGAUGAAUAAAUACCCAGGGAGAAGGGAAAAAAAUAAAAUGUACUGCUAUCUUGUGUCACUUCAGGUGCAACUCUGAUGUUUCCUUUACCAUUUACCACCUUGGAAUUUUUUUUUUACACAAGUGACAUCCUGGGAUUUCCUCUGAACAUGCCCUGAAUAACAUGUGCAUUAGGACCUGUUACUGCUGAGGCCAGUGAUUGGCUGCUGUGUCCUAUGCAAGGAGUACUGUGACAUCACUGAAGCACUUCAGCAAGGAGCUCCGAGCAGCGUUGGUGCUGGACAAGAAGCAACAGGAGAGGUGAGAAUAGAUCAACAAGAUGCUGCACACAAUACGUUUUGCUAGAAGAUAUUGAGAAGAACUUGUACUUCCUACUCCUUCUGAGCUUCUGGGUCCAGGUUACAACCAAAGACCCCCGUCUACAAGUUGGAUCGCUAUUAGAAUACGAGAUGAAAGACCACAAAGAAUGGUCUCUCUUUCCAGUCAAUUGAGGAAUAGAAAACAGAAUGUGAAGUCAUUAGAGAACACCUCAAGCGACAGAUUUGGACCUCAUUUGUUGCUUGUUGACAGGAUGAAAUGUUCCACUUUUCAGCAAGGGGGGAGCUAUACAAACACAGAUCAAGGAAGAUAAAGCUCAGGCACUUUCACCAUGUUACAAUGAUUCGAUUGGGAGAAUUCCAAGAGUCCUACAGCUGCAGAGCCAUUCUAACAGCCGUAAUUCCAAAUAUAUAUCCCAUAUGCUCCUCUCUGUGCUCUCAGACCACAAUGUGAAAAGGAAUAUAUACCUAAAUCAAUACCUUAUUCUCAGAACAAAGGCAUGACUAGUGCUAGUAAGUAUGACUGUCUGCAUUUCAAGGCCAGGUCAAUCGUGAAGAAUACCUCUAAAUAGAUCCUAGACUCCGGGAAAGGGAAAAUAAUAAAUGAAAACCAGGCACACAGUCCCAUCAUAGGGAAACAUUAACGUUUAUCAUUUAAGUGUGAGUUACAUAUGAUGCAUAUUACAACUAACACACAAGGUUUCUGCCCCUCAAUAACUUACCCCUACCAAAUCACACGUCAUGCUUGUGUUGACGGCAAAUGUUAAAGAGAAUAGUCCACAUGAUGUUCCUUGAUUUCAUUUGGUUCUC
Long non-coding RNA from Hyla sarda, 1216 nucleotides. RefSeq lists it as uncharacterized. The record is from RefSeq and is a predicted model, not a curated record. The transcript is spliced from 3 exons. Lineage: Eukaryota; Metazoa; Chordata; Amphibia; Anura; Hylidae.